GGAUUAGAUACCCUGGUAGUCCACGCCGUAAACGAUGGGUACUAGGUGUUGGCUUUGCUUACGGGUAGAGUCGGUGCCGCAGUUAACGCACUAAGUACCCCGCCUGGGGAGUACGCCCGCAAGGGUGAAACUCAAAGGAAUUGACGGGGGCCCGCACAAGCGGUGGAGCAUGUGGUUUAAUUCGAUGCAACGCGCAGAACCUUACCGGGGCUUAAACUGUCAGGUAAACCCUAUGAAAGUAGGACUGCUCUUCGGAGCGACCUGAUAGAGGUGUUGCAUGGCCGUCGUCAGCUCGUGUUG
This 300-nucleotide ribosomal RNA is filed under the name uncultured bacterium. RNAcentral describes it as "bacterial SSU rRNA". It matches the Rfam family "Bacterial small subunit ribosomal RNA", at positions 775 to 1067 of the family's 1533-position model. The record is from RNAcentral.